CCGGAAGGCUGGCGGACGCGCUUCUCGCCAACCUGGUCAGGUCCGGAAGGAAGCAGCCACAACGAGUUUCCGCGCGGGUCGUUUCAGCCUUCCACCCU
This 98-nucleotide signal recognition particle RNA is filed under the name Hyphococcus luteus. Its description in RNAcentral is "Marinicaulis flavus Bacterial small signal recognition particle RNA". It matches the Rfam family "Bacterial small signal recognition particle RNA". Rfam says of the family: The signal recognition particle (SRP) is a universally conserved ribonucleoprotein involved in the co-translational targeting of proteins to membranes. Archaeal SRP consists of a 7S RNA and homologues of the eukaryotic SRP19 and SRP54 proteins. Lineage: Bacteria; Pseudomonadati; Pseudomonadota; Alphaproteobacteria; Parvularculales; Parvularculaceae. The record is from Rfam by way of RNAcentral.